This 492-nucleotide ribosomal RNA is filed under the name uncultured bacterium. RNAcentral's name for it is "partial 16S ribosomal RNA". It matches the Rfam family "Bacterial small subunit ribosomal RNA", at positions 29 to 507 of the family's 1533-position model. The record is from RNAcentral.
AGUGAACGCUGGCGGUAGGCCUAACACAUGCAAGUCGAACGGCAGCACAGUAAGAGCUUGCUCUUACGGGUGGCGAGUGGCGGACGGGUGAGGAAUACAUCGGAAUCUACUUUUUCGUGGGGGAUAACGUAGGGAAACUUACUCUAAUACCGCAUACGACCUACGGGUGAAAGCAUGGGAUCUUCGGACCUUGCGCGAUUGAAUGAGCCGAUGUCGGAUUAGCUAGUUGGCGGGGUAAAGGCCCACCAAGGCGACGAUCCGUAGCUCGUCUGAGAGGAUGAUCAGCCACACUGGAACUGAGACACGGUCCAGACUCCUACGGGAGGCAGCAGUGGGGAAUAUUGGACAAUGGGCGCAAGCCUGAUCCAGCCAUACCGCGUGGGUGAAGAAGGCCUUCGGGUUGUAAAGCCCUUUUGUUGGGAAAGAAAAGCAGCAGGUUAAUACCCCGCUGUUCUGACGGUACCCAAAGAAUAAGCACCGGCUAACUUCGUG